CCCUUAGAUGUUCUGGGCCGCACGCGUGCUACACUGAGUGGAUCAGCGGGUCAGGUUGCGCGAAAGUGUUUCCUAAUCUUGAAAUCCGCUCGUGAUGGGGAUUGACGGUUGCAAUUUUCCGUCAUGAACGAGGAAUACCUUGUAAGCGCGGGUCAUCAUCCCGCGCUGAAUACGUCCCUGCCCUUUGUACACACCGCCCGUCGCUCCUACCGAUUGAGUGGUCCGGUGAGGCUUUGGGAUCUGAGCGGAAAGAGCGUUUCGCUGUUUCUGCUCGGAAAACUCAGUCGAACCUUAUCAUUUAGAGGAAGGAGAAGUUGUAACA
This 322-nucleotide ribosomal RNA is filed under the name uncultured eukaryote. Its description in RNAcentral is "partial 18S ribosomal RNA". It matches the Rfam family "Eukaryotic small subunit ribosomal RNA", at positions 1470 to 1796 of the family's 1831-position model. The record is from RNAcentral.